UGUAAAAAAUGUGUUUCCUUGACAAUAUCACACCUUGUCAAAUCACUACCAGGGUUAUAUAUGUACAGACAGGUGUGGAAAUACCUCCUCUGAUUAAUGACACACCUGGUUUGGUUAAUCAAGAAAUGACAGGUAUGUAAAAAAUGUGUUUCCUUGACAAUAUCACACCUGUCAAAUCACUCCCUGGGUUAAUUACAGGUGCGGAAAAUUGAAAAGCCUAAUCUCGUUAACCUGUUUCCACAUUGUUUCACACCUGGUUUGGUUAAUUAGGAUGAUAAGAGUGUGUAUAAAAUGCUUCCUUGACAAUAUCACACCUUGUCAAAUCACUCCCUGGGUUAAUUACAGGUGCGGAAAAUUGAGAAGCCUAAUCUCGUUAACCUGUUUCCACCUUGUUUCACACCUAGUUUGGUUAAUUAGGAUGAUGAAGGUGUCUAUAAAAUGCUUCCUUGACCACUGUACACCUGUCAAAUCACUACCUGGGUUAAUAACAGGUGCGGAAAGUUGAAAAGCCUAAUCUCGUUAACCUGUUUCCACCUUGUUUCACACCUAGUUUGGUUAAUUAGGAUGAUAAGAGUGUCUAUAAAAUGCUUCCUUGACAAUAUCACACCUUGUCAAAUCACUACCUGGGUUAAUUACAGGUGCGGAAAAUUCAAAAACCUAAUCUCGUUAACCUGUUUCCACCAAAUUUCACACCUGGUUUGGUUAAUUAGGAUGAUGAAGGUGUGUAUAAAAUGCUUCCUUGACAAUAUCACACCUUGUCAAAUCACUACCUGGGUUAAUUACAGGUGCGGAAAAUUGAGAGGCCUAAUCUCGUUAACCUGUUUCCACUAUAUUUCACACCUAGUUUGGUUAAUUAGGAUGAUAAUGGUGUGUAUAAAAUGCUUCCUUGACAAUAUCACACCUGUCAAAUCACUCCCUGGGUUAAUUACAGGUGCGGAAAAUUGGAAAGCCUAAUCUCGUUAACCUGUUUCCACCAAAUUUCACACCUGGUUUGGUUAAUUAAGAUGAUGAAGGUGUAUAUGAAAUGCUUCCUUAAUCAUUUCACAGGUAAGUCAAAUCAUUAGCAAGAUCAUUAGCACCAGGAAACAGGUGCGGAAAUUAGACUAGCGAACUCGUUAACCUGUGCAGUCUUAGUUCACAGGUGGCAACAGGUAGCAUUGAGCAGUGGACUUUUUUUCUUUUUUUUUCUACAGUCUUUUUUGCCCUUGAACCGUCUCCUCCGUUGUGAAAAAUAAAAUAAAAUAAUAAAUAAAUAAAAAAUCCUUCCCUUUCUUACUUCACGAGCGAGAUAAAUUCACCUAUAGCCAAGUAUAGGAAAAUCAUCAACGCCAUUUCAAGCUGUACCCAUUUCAUCGUCAGUGUUACCAAGUGCAGGAAAAAUAACACCUCAUCCUCUUAAUCUGUACCCAAUUUAGAUGUCAGUGUUACCAGGUCAAGGGAACAUGAACACUCACAUUGUCAAACGUCUGAAGUGCUUGUGAUGUCUAUUGUCCGAGGCUAGAGAGAUGAGAUGGCGGGUUGGGGUGAGUGUUUUUCCCCGUUCACAGCGCGGAGGUCUUGCAAAUCUACCGCCAGGCUCAGGAAACUUGGAUAACUUCUGUGUGAGCUUUUAGAAUUUACAAAACUACCGUCAGGCUCAGGAAACUCGGAUAACUUCUGUGAGAGCUUUUACAAUUUACAGAACUACCAUCAGGGCCAUAAACCCACCCAUGGAAACUCGGAUAACUUCUGUGAGAGCUUUUAGAAUUUACAAAACUACCACCAGGACCAUAAACCCACGCACGGAAACUCGGAUAAUUUCUGUGAUAGCUUUUAGAAUUUACAAAACUACCACUAGGGUCAGAAAACCACCCAUGGAAACUCGGAUAACUUCUGUGAGAGCUUUUAGAAUUUACAAAACUACCGUCAGGCUCAGAAAACCAUGCACAGGAAACUCGGAUAAUUUCUGUGAGAGCUUUUAGAAUUUACAAAACUACCACUAGGUCCAUAAACCCACCCACAGGAACUCGGAUAACUUCUGUGAGAGCUUUUAGAAUUUACAAAACUACCACUAGGUCCAUAAACCCACCCAUGGAAACUCGGAUAACUUCUGUGAGAGCUUUUACAAUUUACAAAACUACCACUAGGUCCAUAAACCCACCCAUGGAAACUCGGAUAACUUCUGUGAGAGCUUUUAGAAUUUACAAAACUACCACCAGGCUCAGAAAACCACCCAUGGAAACUCGGAUAACUUCUGUGAGAGCUUUUAGAAUUUACAAAACUACCACUAGGUCCAUAAACCCACCCAUGGAAACUCGGAUAACUUCUGUGAGAGCUUUUACAAUUUACAGAACUACCAUCAGGGCCAUAAAUCCCCCCAUGAAAACUCGGAUAACUUCUGUGAGAGCUUUUAGAAUUUACAAAACUACCACUAGGCCCAUAAACCCACGCAUGAAAACUCGGAUAACUUCUGUGAGAGCCUUUACAAUUUACAAAACUACCACUAGGCCCAUAAAACCACCCAUGGAAACUCGGAUAACUUCUGUGAAAGCUUUUACAAUUUACAAAACUACCACUAGGCCCAUAAACCCACCCAUGAAAUCUCGGAUAACUUCUACCGAGAGCCUUUGAAAUAUAUGAACGAAGUCUUGCAGGAUCCUGAAAAUAGACUUAACACCUGACCAACUUAGCCUGUAUCAAAUUUCUCUCGUGUUGGUAAUGAAAGAUAUGAACAAAGCCUUCCAGCGUUUGAUAAUGUGCGCAGAACACCUCAAAUUAACCAGCACCCUGUCACCUUGUGUUAGUAGAGGCAGGAACCAGACCCAAUAUGCAUUAACAGCAACACCCCACAAAGUUAUUCCACAACCUUCACCGAGAGUUACAUAAGGAAAAACACACCAGAAUAUUAUAAUUACAGAUAUAAUAGAAAUAGUACAGUACACCCUUGUUUUGAUGGACCAUUUGGGGGAGCUCCUUGCAUGUAUCGGAACGGCAAAUAAUCGCAUAAACUCCUAAGAGGGGGCCAUCGUUAGGGGCACUUUCAUGGUCAUUUUGUUUGUUUUGGUCGUUGCCAGUGGCGUCGAUCACUGUUAAAGUAUUUCCACGUGAAACUGACCAAUGGGGUAGUGGCAGCUGUGGUCACAUGCCGGAGAGAGACAGAAGGGGAAGGAAUCAUAGGAGAAGGGAAAGUUUGGUUUAGUGGGCGCAACAUCUGUGGUCAUAUGCCGGAGAGAGACAGAAGGGGAAGGAAUUAUAGGAGAAGGGAAAGUUUGGUUUAGUGGGCGCAACAUCUGUGGUCAUAUGCCGGAGAGAGACAGAAGGGGAAGGAAUUAUAGGAGAAGGGAAAGUUUCGUUUAGUGGGCGCAACAUCUGUGGUCAUAUGCCGGAGACAGAAGGGGAAAGAAUUAUAGAAGGGAACAGACCCCAGGAGACAGGACACAACCCCUGAUUAAUACCUGGUACCCAUUCACUGCUGGGUGGACAGGGGCGUAGGGUAUCGGAAAAGCCACCAAAAUUUUUCCACUCCGCCCGGGAAUCGAACCUGGGCUCUCUCGAUCGUGAGCCGAGCGUGCUAACCACUGCACCACGAAGCCCCCACGCCACCACUGGCAACGAUCAAAGGAAAGUGACUGAAAGUGUCCCUCAGUCAUGGGAGUAUUGAACAUUGCAAGUAUGAGUUGUGGGCAGCCCGGGAGUCCCACUGACCGAAAAAUCCCAGCGGAAACUUCAAAAUCCCAGCGGAAACUUCAAAAUCCCAGCGGAAACUUCAAAAUCCCAGCGGAAACUUCAAAAUCCCAGCAGAAACUUCAAAAUCCCAGCGGAAACUUCAAAAUCCCAGCGGAAACUUCAAAAUCCCAGCGGAAACUUCAAAAUCCCAGCGGAAACUUCAAAAUCCCAGCUGAAACUUCAAAAUCCCAGCGGAAACUUCAAAAUCCCAGCGGAAACUUCAAAAUCCCAGCGGAAACUUCAAAAUCCCAGCGGAAACUUCAAAAUCCCAGCGGAAACUUCAAAAUCCCAGCGGAAACUUCAAAAUCCCAGCGGAAACUUCAAAAUCCCAGCGGAAACUUCAAAAUCCCAGCGGAAACUUCAAAAUCCCAGCGGAAACUUCAAAAUCCCAGCGGAAACUUCAAAAUCCCAGCGGAAACUUCAAAAUUACAGCGGAAACUUCAAAAUUACAGCGGAAAAAGGCAGAACCGGAACUCCUGUCACUCGCCCUUAAGGGGUUAAACUUAAAAUUCAUUAGGUCCGUCUAAGCAAGGGUUAACUAUAGUAAUAAUAACAAUAGAGGAACUACAAUUAUACACACCAUGCAAUAUCCGAUAAUACAAUGCAGGCUCUAUAAUACAAGGUCAGCACAGCAAAACACAGCAUCUCUAUAUACUAUAAAAAUAAGAAUGCCCAUUUCACAGCCAGUGUACCCAUCCCAGGACAGCGUUGCCAGGAAAAAGUGUGUACCCAUCCCAGGACAGUGUUGCCAGGAAAAAGUGUGUACCCAUCCCAGGACAGUGUUGCCAGGAAAAUGUGUGUACCCAUCCCAGGACAGUGUUGCCAGGAAAAAGUGUGUACCCAUCCCAGGACAGCGUUGCCAGGAAAAAGUGUGUACCCAUCCCAGGACAGUGUUGCCAGGAAAAAGUGUGUACCCAUCCCAGGACAGUGUUGCCAGGAAAAUGUGUGUACCCAUCCCAGGACAGUGUUGCCAGGAAAAUGUGUGUACCCAUCCCAGGACAGUGUUGCCAGGAAAAAGUGUGUACCCAUCCCAGGACAGUGUUGCCAGGAAAAAGUGUGUACCCAUCCCAGGACAGUGUUGCCAGGAAAAAGUGUGUACCCAUCCCAGGACAGUGUUGCCAGGAAAAUGUGUGUACCCAUCCCAGGACAGUGUUGCCAGGAAAAAGUGUGUACCCAUCCCAGGACAGUGUUGCCAGGAAAAAGUGUGUACCCAUCCCAGGACAGUGUUGCCAGGAAAAAGUGUGUACCCAUCCCAGGACAGUGUUGCCAGGAAAAAGUGUGUACCCAUCCCAGGACAGUGUUGCCAGGAAAAAGUGUGUACCCAUCCCAGGACAGUGUUGCCAGGAAAAUGUGUGUACCCAUCCCAGGACAGUGUUGCCAAGAAAAACUGUAUACCUAUCCCUGUUUAGCGACAAAGUGUACCCAUCCCAGGACAGUGUUGCCAGGUAAAACUGUAUACCUAUCCCUGUUUAGCGACAAAGUAUACCCAUCCCAGGACAGUGUUGCCAAGUAAAAUUGUAUAACUAUCCCUCUAUAGCCACAAAGUGUACCCAUCCCAGGACAGUGUUGCCAGGUCAAAUAUGUAGCUACCCCCUCUGUAAGCCCCACAAGAAAAUACAGCCAUACCUCAGUUUACGAGCUUAAUUUCUUGGGGGAUUUCGCUCGUAAAUCCAAAACCUCGUAAACUAAAAUGAUCGCAGUUCUGAAAACCCCAAGAUCGCACAGGAGAGUUCGAACGUAAGUGGAUACGAGUGCGUGGAUCCUACCUCUGAGAGUGUACAAUGUGGAAUGACCGACUGCGACCCCAUUCCCACUGUCUUCCGCUCGGAGCGCUCUCGUCCUGCGAUGAAUGAACGGAACACGGACUCGUAUCUCCGACUUGCACAAACUGGAUGGUCGUAAAAAGCACCACUCGUAAACAAGGCAUUUUUAGUGAUAUUUUUAUGCCUGUAAAUCAACACUCGCAAAGGACGGCAUUUUUAGACAUUUUUUUGCUCGUAAAUCGAACCACUCGUGAACGACAUUUUUUUGGACGUAAAUCAACACUCGUAAAAACCACGGCAUUUUUAGUGACAUUUUUCUGCUCGUAAAUGAACACUCAUAAACGAAGGCAUUUUUAGCGACAUUUUUUUGGCCGUAAAUCAACACUCGUAAAAACCACGGCAUUUUUAGUGACAUUUUUCUGCUCGUAAAUGAACACUCGUAAACGAAGGCAUUUUUAGCGACAUUUUUUUGGCCGUAAAUCAACACUCGUAAAAACCACGGCAUUUUUAGUAACAUUUUUCUGCUCGUAAAUGAACACUCAUAAACGAAGGCAUUUUUAGCGACAUUUUUUUGGCCGUAAAUCAACACUCGUAAAAACCACGGCAUUUUUAGUGACAUUUUUCUGCUCGUAAAUGAACACUCAUAAACGAAGACAUUUUUUGCAACAUUUUUUUUGCUCGUUAAUCAAACCACUCGUAAACAAGACAUUUUUAGCGACAUUUUUCCGCUCGUAAAUCCAGGCAUUUUUAGACAUUUUUCUGCUCGUAUAUCAAACCCCUCAUGAACGAAGGCAUUUUAAGAGACAUUUUCCCCCGUAAAUUAACGCUCGUAAGCCAAGCUAUGACUAUAUUAAUAAGCUGUUAUACAUUCAAGUAACACAUAGAUCUAUUUUGACCCUGUUUGUCUAUUCCAGCCCCUGACCUUGACCCUGAAUCUAGAUGGUCACAGGAGCUGCCUUAUAUGGAGCUAAUGACCUCUUGUAGACUCCAUAUGUUCUUAUGCACAAGGGUAUUUUAGAGAGUUAAGUACUAAUACCAUGCAGGAUCCAAUGCUUUAUAAAGGGUAUCAAAUGCAUAACACCUAUCUUAUAAUUGCCUCUCAAUAAUAAUAAUAAUAAUAAUAAUAAUAAUAAUAAUAAUGUGUGUUGUGAAAUGCAUAUAGUUUAACCUCAUUCAUAGUUUAU
This is an RNA transcript of Eriocheir sinensis (Chinese mitten crab), 6652 nucleotides long. It is a transcript of the gene named keratin-associated protein 10-12-like, with no coding region annotated. The transcript is spliced from 7 exons. The record is from RefSeq and is a predicted model, not a curated record. Lineage: Eukaryota; Metazoa; Arthropoda; Malacostraca; Decapoda; Varunidae.